Molecule: long non-coding RNA, 2219 nt
Organism: Panicum virgatum (switchgrass)
Lineage: Eukaryota; Viridiplantae; Streptophyta; Magnoliopsida; Poales; Poaceae
Exons: 3
Source: RefSeq, a predicted model, not a curated record
GCGCGCAGAUUUCCUUCAGCGACUGCGCCCCACGAAUCACGACGGUUGUGCCUCCUCUCCACGCGGCCUCCUUCAAGCCGCCGUGCCGCCUCUCCGCGCCUUCUCGCGCCCGGGACGCCGCCGCCAAGCCUCCUCUUCGCGCGGCCUCCUUCAAGCCGCCGCGCCUCCUCUCCGCGCCUCCUCGCGGCCGGGACGCCGCCGCCAAGCCUCCUCUCCUACUCUCGAGUCGUGAGGCACCAGGGACCCGGGCGCCUAGGUCUUCGCCGCGCCCCCUGCUGCCGGCUGCCCCUGCUGCUCCCCGCGACCCUCCCCUGGCGCCACACGUCGUGCCGCCCCCUCUCCUCCACCACGAGUCGCGGCCUCGGCGCUCGGCACCUCCCUCCUACUCGCGAGGUACCAGGGGCCCAUGCGCCUAGGUCUUUGCCGCGCGCCCCCUGCUGCCCCCCGCGACCCUCCCCUGGAGCCGCAAGUCGUGCCGCCCGUGGCGCCCCUGUAACAUCCUCCUGUGAAGUCACCGAGAUCUCGAAGUCACGGCCGCCGCCAGAUCUGCUCCAAGAAACCAGGGCUGCCCUCCCGCCGAUCGGAGCUAUGCCCGUGAUUUACUCGUAGUUCUGAAAUUUGUGUUGCUACACUUUUGGUAUAUUUGUAAUAUUAAUAUAUUGGAGUUAUUAAUAGUAAUAUAAUUAUAUAGUCAAGGUACUUAAAAAUAUAAUAGUUAUUGAAUUCUCCUCGUAUUUAGCAAAAAAAAUGAGAUAUCAUCAGCUUUAGGGGCAUUUCAGAUAAUUUACCACUCAACUCAGAGAAUCGACUCAAAAUAAUCAGGAUUGCCAAACACUCAGCUUAUUCAGACAACCGAUUCUCCAGACAACUGGCUUAUCUCAGAAUCCUGAUUCUCAGAAAAGUGAGACUCAGAAAAGCGGAAACAAACAGGGCCUUAGUUUUUCCAUCCAUUGUAUCCUUGAUGUGGACACGUCUGUGGGUGGACCUAGGGUUUCUGAUGCAAGUGAUGCCAUAUGCUGGGUGCUGGUUUUAUGCAGAUGGUAGUGCAGGUAGCAUGUACGGGAGAUGCCUGAUCUACAUCUACCCCUUCCGAAUAAACUCAGGAGUCAGGAUCUAUGGUAUUGAUGCAGUCGUUGAGCAAGAGGGUACGUAAAAUAAGUUACAGAAUGGAUCCGUGAAUUCUGCAGCUAAUAAUCAGGGUCACUUCUUGAUGGUAGUAAGCAGGAGUAGCCCAAGGAGGAAACUGAUCAGCUCCCAAAAGGUUUUACUUUUUUGAAUAUACUAAACUCAGUAAUUGUUGAUCAUAUUUAUUUGUCCAAGCUAAAGAUGCUAUCAGAAUAAUUGGAGUGGGCUCUUGGAAAUUGAAUCUAUGCUACUUUUCAUACUCAAGUGAUUUUUUUCAUGGACCAAUGAGGUUUCAGUGUGUUGUUGGAAAUCUAUGCUAUUCUGCUUUUGUGUCUUUUUUUGCAUGGGUUUGAAAUCUAUUUCAUUUUAUGGUUGGUUACAAUAUAUUUUGGUUGUAUCGCAUUACCAAAUGCUGCUGUAGCGUUAGCACGGCAUUAUACUUUUAGUUUUUAGGAUCUCACCUAGAUUGAGGUUAGUUGUGUUAGCUUAGGUUGAAUGUGGCACCAAAACAUAAUAGAUAUCAGCUUUCUUUUAGCAGGAUGCCAGCUUUGAUGCUGCUGUGGAAGAAUUAUUCAAACACAAAUUGUGAUGAUAGUUUUAUAUUGCGGCAUUGAAGUUGAUGUCAAGCAAUAGUUUUAUAUUGCGGCAUUGAAGUUGAUGUCAAGCAAUUGGGAGAAAGAUAGAUAGAAAUAUUUGGAGCCGAAUAUUGUGGCUUGAAAUAUUCAGUAGUCACCCACUCACCAACAGACAACAUACAUAAUCUAUUUUAUAUCUCUGAUAGUGAUCUUUGCUGUUCUUUUUCUGUGCACCCGGCCAUACUACCUAACCAUUUUUACUUUCAGAUGAUAAAAUUCAACAGAUGCUUCAUCUAUGCGGCUGGUCAUGUAGGCACUGUAUAUCACAACAAAAAUAACCUUUACUUGCAUUAUUAAUUUAUCAUGCUUCAUUGUUUAGGCCUUUUGAUUUUACAGCACAUAGCCUUUAAGGCUAUCAGGUUGUGCCUGUACCUUAUCUUGUUCUAUAAAUCUAAGAAGAUAAAGCUUUGCUCGGCUGUGUAUAUAUUUAUUUUUAACUCUUGAGUCAUUAAAGGGCAG